RNAcentral lists this transfer RNA (86 nucleotides) under Pelagibacteraceae bacterium GOM-A1. RNAcentral describes it as "tRNA-Leu". It matches the Rfam family "tRNA". From Rfam's summary of the family: Transfer RNA (tRNA) molecules are approximately 80 nucleotides in length. Their secondary structure includes four short double-helical elements and three loops (D, anti-codon, and T loops). RNAcentral also lists the same sequence under 14 other names. The record is from RNAcentral. Lineage: Bacteria; Pseudomonadati; Pseudomonadota; Alphaproteobacteria; Candidatus Pelagibacterales; Candidatus Pelagibacteraceae.
GCCCUCGUGGUGAAAUUGGUAGACACAAAGGACUUAAAAUCCUUGCCCUUUUGGGAGUGCCAGUUCGAGUCUGGCCGAGGGCACCA